RNAcentral lists this ribosomal RNA (389 nucleotides) under uncultured bacterium. Its description in RNAcentral is "bacterial SSU rRNA". It matches the Rfam family "Bacterial small subunit ribosomal RNA", at positions 29 to 418 of the family's 1533-position model. The record is from RNAcentral.
AUUGAACGCUGGCGGAAUGCUUUACACAUGCAAGUCGAGCGGCAGCACGGGGGCAACCCUGGUGGCGAGCGGCGAACGGGUGAGUAACAUAUCGGAACGUACCCCGUCGUGGGGGAUAACACAGCGAAAGCUGUGCUAAUACCGCAUACGACCUGAGGGUGAAAGCGGGGGAUCGCAAGACCUCGCGCGAUGGGAGCGGCCGAUAUCGGAUUAGCUUGUUGGUGAGGUAAAGGCUCACCAAGGCGACGAUCCGUAGCUGGUCUGAGAGGACGACCAGCCACACUGGAACUGAGACACGGUCCAGACUCCUACGGGAGGCAGCAGUGGGGAAUUUUGGGACAAUGGGCGGAAGCCUGAUCCAGCCAUGCCGCGUGAGUGAAGAAGGCCUC